RNAcentral lists this ribosomal RNA (1842 nucleotides) under Escherichia coli. RNAcentral describes it as "partial 23S ribosomal RNA". It matches the Rfam family "Bacterial large subunit ribosomal RNA", at positions 1 to 1869 of the family's 2925-position model. Lineage: Bacteria; Pseudomonadati; Pseudomonadota; Gammaproteobacteria; Enterobacterales; Enterobacteriaceae. The record is from RNAcentral.
GUUAAGCGACUAAGCGUACACGGUGGAUGCCCUGGCAGUCAGAGGCGAUGAAGGACGUGCUAAUCUGCGAUAAGCGUCGGUAAGGUGAUAUGAACCGUUAUAACCGGCGAUUUCCGAAUGGGGAAACCCAGUGUGAUUCGUCACACUAUCAUUAACUGAAUCCAUAGGUUAAUGAGGCGAACCGGGGGAACUGAAACAUCUAAGUACCCCGAGGAAAAGAAAUCAACCGAGAUUCCCCCAGUAGCGGCGAGCGAACGGGGAGCAGCCCAGAGCCUGAAUCAGUGUGUGUGUUAGUGGAAGCGUCUGGAAAGGCGCGCGAUACAGGGUGACAGCCCCGUACACAAAAAUGCACAUGCUGUGAGCUCGAUGAGUAGGGCGGGACACGUGGUAUCCUGUCUGAAUAUGGGGGGACCAUCCUCCAAGGCUAAAUACUCCUGACUGACCGAUAGUGAACCAGUACCGUGAGGGAAAGGCGAAAAGAACCCCGGCGAGGGGAGUGAAAAAGAACCUGAAACCGUGUACGUACAAGCAGUGGGAGCACGCUUAGGCGUGUGACUGCGUACCUUUUGUAUAAUGGGUCAGCGACUUAUAUUCUGUAGCAAGGUUAACCGAAUAGGGGAGCCGAAGGGAAACCGAGUCUUAACUGGGCGUUAAGUUGCAGGGUAUAGACCCGAAACCCGGUGAUCUAGCCAUGGGCAGGUUGAAGGUUGGGUAACACUAACUGGAGGACCGAACCGACUAAUGUUGAAAAAUUAGCGGAUGACUUGUGGCUGGGGGUGAAAGGCCAAUCAAACCGGGAGAUAGCUGGUUCUCCCCGAAAGCUAUUUAGGUAGCGCCUCGUGAAUUCAUCUCCGGGGGUAGAGCACUGUUUCGGCAAGGGGGUCAUCCCGACUUACCAACCCGAUGCAAACUACGAAUACCGGAGAAUGUUAUCACGGGAGACACACGGCGGGUGCUAACGUCCGUCGUGAAGAGGGAAACAACCCAGACCGCCAGCUAAGGUCCCAAAGUCAUGGUUAAGUGGGAAACGAUGUGGGAAGGCCCAGACAGCCAGGAUGUUGGCUUAGAAGCAGCCAUCAUUUAAAGAAAGCGUAAUAGCUCACUGGUCGAGUCGGCCUGCGCGGAAGAUGUAACGGGGCUAAACCAUGCACCGAAGCUGCGGCAGCGACGCUUAUGCGUUGUUGGGUAGGGGAGCGUUCUGUAAGCCUGCGAAGGUGUGCUGUGAGGCAUGCUGGAGGUAUCAGAAGUGCGAAUGCUGACAUAAGUAACGAUAAAGCGGGUGAAAAGCCCGCUCGCCGGAAGACCAAGGGUUCCUGUCCAACGUUAAUCGGGGCAGGGUGAGUCGACCCCUAAGGCGAGGCCGAAAGGCGUAGUCGAUGGGAAACAGGUUAAUAUUCCUGUACUUGGUGUUACUGCGAAGGGGGGACGGAGAAGGCUAUGUUGGCCGGGCGACGGUUGUCCCGGUUUAAGCGUGUAGGCUGGUUUUCCAGGCAAAUCCGGAAAAUCAAGGCUGAGGCGUGAUGACGAGGCACUACGGUGCUGAAGCAACAAAUGCCCUGCUUCCAGGAAAAGCCUCUAAGCAUCAGGUAACAUCAAAUCGUACCCCAAACCGACACAGGUGGUCAGGUAGAGAAUACCAAGGCGCUUGAGAGAACUCGGGUGAAGGAACUAGGCAAAAUGGUGCCGUAACUUCGGGAGAAGGCACGCUGAUAUGUAGGUGAAGUCCCUCGCGGAUGGAGCUGAAAUCAGUCGAAGAUACCAGCUGGCUGCAACUGUUUAUUAAAAACACAGCACUGUGCAAACACGAAAGUGGACGUAUACGGUGUGACGCCUGCCCGGUGC